AGCGAACGCUGGCGGCAGGCCUAACACAUGCAAGUCGAACGAACUCUUCGGAGUUAGUGGCGGACGGGUGAGUAACACGUGGGAACGUGCCUUUUGGUUCGGAAUAACUCAGGGAAACUUGUGCUAAUACCGAAUGUGCCCUUCGGGGGAAAGAUUUAUCGCCAUUAGAGCGGCCCGCGUCUGAUUAGCUAGUUGGUGAGGUAACGGCUCACCAAGGCGACGAUCAGUAGCUGGUCUGAUAGGAUGACCAGCCACACUGGGACUGAGACACGGCCCAGAAUCCUACGGGAAGCAGCAGUAGGGAAUCUUGCGCAAUGGGCGAAAGCCUGACGCAGCCAUGCCGCGUGAAUGAUGAAGGUCUUAGGAUUGUAAAAUUCUUUCACCGGGGACGAUAAUGACGGUACCCGGAGAAGAAGCCCCGGCUAACUUCGUG
RNAcentral lists this ribosomal RNA (433 nucleotides) under uncultured bacterium. RNAcentral describes it as "partial 16S ribosomal RNA". It matches the Rfam family "Bacterial small subunit ribosomal RNA", at positions 29 to 507 of the family's 1533-position model. The record is from RNAcentral.